This 207-nucleotide long non-coding RNA is filed under the name Physcomitrium patens. RNAcentral describes it as "long non-coding RNA (PPAT_LNC008691)". Lineage: Eukaryota; Viridiplantae; Streptophyta; Bryopsida; Funariales; Funariaceae. The record is from RNAcentral.
GGUUACUCUUGAAAUAGUAAAAUUAACAAAAAUAUAUAAAACAAGUUUUAUAAUCUUUUAGUAAUAUUUAGAUUUUAUUUAUUUUAUAAAAGUAAAUAAAUUAUAUAAAAAAAUCAAAAUGACAAUCACAUUUUCAAAAGUUUUUUUGGCUUAAUGUAAUUUUAGACCUAAAAUAUAACAAAUUUAAAUUAACUCGGUACUAAGAAU